Molecule: unclassified non-coding RNA, 327 nt
Filed under: uncultured fungus
Lineage: Eukaryota; Fungi
Description: sequence contains ITS1, 5.8S rRNA gene
Rfam family: 5.8S ribosomal RNA (bases 279-327)
Source: RNAcentral
UUUCCGUAGGUAUGUUAAGCAUCGAGUUCCUUCCUUUUCGUGACAUUUCGCUAACUUGUGUCGUAGGUGAACCUGCGGAAGGAUCAUUACUGAGUUAGGGUCUUCUGGCCCGACCUCCAACCCUGUGUCUACCUUACCACGUUGCUUCGGCGGGCCGGCCGACAGGAUCUGUCGGCUGCCGGCGGGCUUAACCCCCGCUGGACAGUGCCCGUCGAUGGCCAACCUCCAAAACUCUUGAAGAACCAUGUCGUCUGAGUACCAAACUAAAUAAAAGUAAAAACUUUCAACAACGGAUCUCUUGGUUCUGGCAUCGAUGAAGAACGCAGC